RNAcentral lists this small RNA (175 nucleotides) under Arabidopsis thaliana (thale cress). RNAcentral describes it as "ATSL159730". Lineage: Eukaryota; Viridiplantae; Streptophyta; Magnoliopsida; Brassicales; Brassicaceae. The record is from RNAcentral.
UUAGAGAUACUCUGUUUUCUUAAUGUUUGAUAUCCAUUCCAAAAAUUGCUAUGUUCAAAAACUAUGACUCAGGUAAAAUAUAUUUUUGGGUCCGCCACUGAUGCAUGCCUUGGUUUAGCAAUGAACUGUGAGAGAACUUGUACGGCAUAACACAAUUUUAAACGAAUGAUAAAAA